AGCGAACGCUGGCGGCAGGCUUAACACAUGCAAGUCGAACGGGCGUAGCAAUACGUCAGUGGCAGACGGGUGAGUAACGCGUGGGAACGUACCUUUUGGUUCGGAACAACACAGGGAAACUUGUGCUAAUACCGGAUAAGCCCUUACGGGGAAAGAUUUAUCGCCGAAAGAUCGGCCCGCGUCUGAUUAGCUAGUUGGUGAGGUAACGGCUCACCAAGGCGACGAUCAGUAGCUGGUCUGAGAGGAUGAUCAGCCACAUUGGGGCUGAGACACGGCCCAAACUCCUACGGGAGGCAGCAGUGGGGAAUAUUGGACAAUGGGCGCAAGCCUGAUCCAGCCAUGCCGCGUGAGUGAUGAAGGCCCUAGGGUUGUAAAGCUCUUUUGUGCGGGAAGAUAAUGACGGUACCGCAAGAAUAAGCCCCGGCUAACUUCGUG
Molecule: ribosomal RNA, 435 nt
Filed under: uncultured bacterium
Lineage: Bacteria
Description: bacterial SSU rRNA
Rfam family: Bacterial small subunit ribosomal RNA
Source: RNAcentral